This is a non-coding RNA of Otolemur garnettii (small-eared galago), 77 nucleotides long. The record is from Rfam. Lineage: Eukaryota; Metazoa; Chordata; Mammalia; Primates; Galagidae.
CAGGUGUGGUGACACUUCAGUCAUGCUGCAGACGCCUAAGUCCACAGUGGGGAGGCCAACCCAGGGGAGCUGAGCAG